GAACUGCGAUAAGUAAUGUGAAUUGCAGAAUUCAGUGAAUCAUCGAGUCUUUGAACGCACAUUGCGCCCCCUGGCAUUCCGGGGGGCAUGCCUGUCCGAGCGUCAUUGCUGCCCAUCAAGCCCGGCUUGUGUGUUGGGUCGUCGUCCCCUCCGGGGGACGGGCCCGAAAGGCAGCGGCGGCACCGCGUCCGGUCCUCGAGCGUAUGGGGCUUUGUCACCCGCUCGAUAAGGACCGGCCGGGCGCCAGCCGGCGUCUCCAACCUUUUUUUCUCAGGUUGACCUCGGAUCAGGUAGGGAUACCCGCUGAACUUAAGC
This 315-nucleotide unclassified non-coding RNA is filed under the name plant metagenome. RNAcentral's name for it is "partial contains 5.8S ribosomal RNA, internal transcribed spacer 2, and large subunit ribosomal RNA". The stretch from base 1 to 105 matches the Rfam family "5.8S ribosomal RNA", at positions 50 to 154 of the family's 154-position model. The record is from RNAcentral.